Molecule: ribosomal RNA, 497 nt
Filed under: uncultured bacterium
Lineage: Bacteria
Description: partial 16S ribosomal RNA
Rfam family: Bacterial small subunit ribosomal RNA
Source: RNAcentral
GAUGAACGCUGGCGGCGUGCCUAAUACAUGCAAGUCGAGCGAACGGACGAGAAGCUUGCUUCUCUGAUGUUAGCGGCGGACGGGUGAGUAACACGUGGAUAACCUACCUAUAAGACUGGGAUAACUUCGGGAAACCGGAGCUAAUACCGGAUAAUAUUUUGAACCGCAUGGUUCAAAGGUAAAAGACGGUCUUGCUGUCACUUAUAGAUGGAUCCGCGCUGCAUUAGCUAGUUGGUAAGGUAACGGCUUACCAAGGCAACGAUGCAUAGCCGACCUGAGAGGGUGAUCGGCCACACUGGAACUGAGACACGGUCCAGACUCCUACGGGAGGCAGCAGUAGGGAAUCUUCCGCAAUGGGUGAAAGCCUGACGGAGCAACGCCGCGUGAGUGAUGAAGGUCUUCGGAUCGUAAAACUCUGUUAUUAGGGAAGAACAUAUGUGUAAGUAACUGUGCACAUCUUGACGGUACCUAAUCAGAAAGCCACGGCUAACUACGUG